Molecule: long non-coding RNA, 545 nt
Filed under: Elaeis guineensis (African oil palm)
Lineage: Eukaryota; Viridiplantae; Streptophyta; Magnoliopsida; Arecales; Arecaceae
Description: long non-coding RNA (EGUI_LNC027676)
Source: RNAcentral
UGAUUAUAGUAGUUGAAUUAGAAUCUGCGAUUUAAAUUGGAGUCGUCUGAAUAAACUUCAGAAUUAAACUUCAGAAUUAAAGAAAGAAAAGCUCACUUAAGUGGCCUCUUGACGGGACAUAAAGAUCCAAGGUUUGAGGUAUUAUGCAGUGAAUCUUUGACUAAAGAAUGAGUCUUUGGUAUUCCGGGAACUGUGAUAAGAAAUGGCAAUGGCAAUACAAGGGAGACAUCUUUUAGUAAGAAAGCCAUCAAACACACUGAUAUUUUUGUCUAGAUCAAGGGACGGUCCAGGGACAGUGCGGAUGACAUCAAAAUAUGUCAUAGGUGGAGAGAAAGAAAGAGUUUUAUGGUUCUUUCUUGGAUGCUUGAUAAGGUGAGAUAUUGUCAUGUAGCUCUAUGUUUUAGAUUGAUUUGGAUUCUGACUAAAGAUAAAUAUUCGAUAAAGUGAUAGGGAUAUAUUUGAUGAUUUGAUAAAGUUGAACUCUACACAAUCAUCAUAAACAACGUUUAUUUUUCAGUUUGUGCCGCUGAUUCAGUAACUGCCUC